This 583-nucleotide ribosomal RNA is filed under the name uncultured bacterium. RNAcentral describes it as "partial 16S ribosomal RNA". It matches the Rfam family "Bacterial small subunit ribosomal RNA", at positions 355 to 935 of the family's 1533-position model. The record is from RNAcentral.
UGGGGAAUUUUGGACAAUGGGCGCAAGCCUGAUCCAGCCAUGCCGCGUGCGGGAAGAAGGCCUUCGGGUUGUAAACCGCUUUUGUCAGGGAAGAAAUCUUCUGAGUUAAUACCUCGGGAGGAUGACGGUACCUGAAGAAUAAGCACCGGCUAACUACGUGCCAGCAGCCGCGGUAAUACGUAGGGUGCAAGCGUUAAUCGGAAUUACUGGGCGUAAAGCGUGCGCAGGCGGUUUUGUAAGACAGAGGUGAAAUCCCCGGGCUCAACCUGGGAACUGCCUUUGUGACUGCAAGGCUUGAGUGCGGCAGAGGGGGAUGGAAUUCCGCGUGUAGCAGUGAAAUGCGUAGAUAUGCGGAGGAACACCGAUGGCGAAGGCAAUCCCCUGGGCCUGCACUGACGCUCAUGCACGAAAGCGUGGGGAGCAAACAGGAUUAGAUACCCUGGUAGUCCACGCCCUAAACGAUGUCAACUGGUUGUUGGGAAGGUUCCUUCUCAGUAACGUAGCUAACGCGUGAAGUUGACCGCCUGGGGAGUACGGCCGCAAGGUUGAAAACUCAAAGGAAUUGACGGGGUCAUAGCUGUUU